GUGGGGAAUAUUGGGCAAUGGGCGCAAGCCUGACCCAGCAACGCCGCGUGAAGGAAGAAGGCUUUCGGGUUGUAAACUUCUUUUGUCAGGGAAGAUGAAGAGACUGUACCUGACGAAUAAGCCACGGCUAACUACGUGCCAGCAGCCGCGGUAAUACGUAGGUGGCAAGCGUUGUCCGGAUUUACUGGGUGUAAAGGGCGUGUAGGCGGGAAGAUAAGUCAGGCGUGAAAACCAGAGGCUCAACCUCUGGCCUGCGUUUGAAACUGUUUUUCUUGAGUACUGGAGAGGUUGGCGGAAUUCCUAGUGUAGCGGUGAAAUGCGUAGAUAUUAGGAGGAACACCAGUGGCGAAGGCGGCCAACUGGACAGCAACUGACGCUGAGGCGCGAAAGCGUGGGGAGCAAACAGGAUUAGAAACCCGAGUAGUCC
Molecule: ribosomal RNA, 427 nt
Filed under: uncultured bacterium
Lineage: Bacteria
Description: bacterial SSU rRNA
Rfam family: Bacterial small subunit ribosomal RNA
Source: RNAcentral